RNAcentral lists this non-coding RNA (100 nucleotides) under Chromera velia. The record is from RNAcentral. Lineage: Eukaryota; Chromeraceae.
ACUCACUCACUCACUCACUCACACAGCAAUCAAUCAAUGCGUCUGUCUGUCUGUUUGGUCGGUUUGACAGAUGCAUGGCAGAAUCAAGAGAGGAAUGUGG